CGUGUAGGCGGCUCAUCAAGUCUGGUGUGAAAUCGCAGGGCUUAACCCUGCAUAGGCGCUGGAAACUGGUGGGCUUGAGUUCUUGAGGGGAAGCUGGAAUUCCAGGUGUAGGGGUGAAAUCUGUAGAUAUCUGGAAGAACACCGGUGGCGAAGGCGAGCUUCUAUCAGAGGACUGACGCUGAGGCGCGAAAGCGUGGGGAGCAAACAGGAUUAGAUACCCUGGUAGUCCACGCUGUAAACGAUGUGCACUAGGCGUGGGGCACGCACGUGUUCUGUGCCGUAGUUAACGUGAUAAGUGCACCGCCUGGGGAGUAUGCUCGCAAGGGUGAA
RNAcentral lists this ribosomal RNA (330 nucleotides) under uncultured bacterium. RNAcentral describes it as "bacterial SSU rRNA". It matches the Rfam family "Bacterial small subunit ribosomal RNA", at positions 568 to 898 of the family's 1533-position model. The record is from RNAcentral.